This is a long non-coding RNA of Ictalurus punctatus (channel catfish), 1656 nucleotides long. NCBI's taxonomy places the organism in Eukaryota, Metazoa, Chordata, Actinopteri, Siluriformes, Ictaluridae. The record is from Ensembl.
GCUGGUGAAACAUACAGAGAUGUUAGAGUUGCUGUGCAUCUGUAGUCAUAUGCAUCACAUUUGCAAUACAAACAAGCAAAUCCAUUUAAAAUUAUAUUGCUAUAAUGGCACAUCCCAGAAUAAAAUGACUUAGUUAUUUAGACCCGUCGUACUUUUUUAUCCGUUUGUAGUUACAUUUAAUGUUGAGGAAUGUCAAAAUAGGUUCGCUCCUGUUAUCAUUUAGUGGCUAUAAACGGUCGUGCCCUUAAAUCUUCUUGAAGACGAAACCAAAUUGCAGCGUGUUAAUGAGAAAUCACGAAACACAAAGCCGUCUGUCCCAAAGAAUUGCUUAUGCAGGACAUCUUAACGUUUAAGCUCUGAUUAGUACCAAGUGCUGACACUGGAGACUCCUUCCAAAAAUGCUAAAUAAACGUCUUCAUACAGAAAACAUGAGCGUGUAUUGAAAAUGUGUUAGAAAGAGCGCGCUGUGAUUUAGCUUACAGACGGAUCAACCUGUCUAGGCUGGGUUGUUAGAGAAACUUCUGACCAAUCAGAAUUGAGGCGCUGUGGUAAAAGGGUGUUGCUUUCUCAAAAUCACAGUCACUUACUUCUGAGUAAGAUUGAAGCAUUCUGUGCAGCCUCCAGUCCCGCUGACUCUUCAGUCCGAGGUCCGAUGUGUUGUAUGCUGUGAGAACCUUCCCUGCUUUGCAGAGCGUCUCACACUAGAAUACACAUAUAAAAGGGCUCAUAUCUUCAGGUUUUCUCAUAUUAAUAUAUCAUUUGAAUGUUAUGUUAAUCAAUUGUAUGCUUGCAUGUUGGUGUUUUACUUACACUGCAUUCUUCAUUCAUAAAAACAUGUUGGACUUGUUUCUGAAGUGUCUGAUUAAAAAAAAAAAAAAAAAAAGGUUAUAUUGUUAGAUUGAGUUUUUAAUCACUGCUGGUCUACAAUUCUAUUAAUCAUACGGGUGAUGUGAAUCUUACCUUCGCUGUUAGGUUCAUUUUCAAGUUUUUCACAUGAUGCAUGAUAUCUUUUAAAAGAUGUUGGCCUUCUUUCUUGCCUUCUUGAGAUUUCCGGUGGCAUUCAUGGUUGGUGAAGUUGACCGCCUUUCCACUUUUCUGCUGAUGUUUGUCUGAUGUAGAUGCCGUAUGAGGUGCUGCAGUAACCACUGCGGUGCUCAGGAAGAAAAAUAUGAAGACGUUCAUGUCGUCGUGCGUGGUUCCAGUCUAUUUGCCUGGUUUUGAGUUUUCAAGUUCAGUUUACUCGGUGCUGUCACUGUCUUUUAUACCAUACCGCCUCUCUUCUCUUAUAGAGGUCAAGAUUUUGUGAAGUGUGCUUUAUCCUGGUCAGGUGCAGUGGAUCUGGAGCCUCUCCUAGGAACACUGGAGACGAGGUGGUAAUACACCCUGGAAGUGAUGCCACUCUGUCGUUCACUAGAUGUAUGCAUCGGGACUGGGAUCUCACAGGAUUCACCAGGAGGGAAACUUAAAUAUGUUAUGUAGCUUCUGAAGGGCGGUACUAAAUGAAAUAAAUUAAGAUCUUUAAACAAAAUAAUAAUAAUUCACACCAAUUAUCCUGUUCAAUUUUUUUUGUUGAGCUUUUGAACGUUUGCACCUUUUGUAACAGUUGUGUCCCUCAGUUGUCCUCAGUGUGAAAAGAUGGAUCUGAUCAUCAUAUAG